CAGCAAUGCUCCAUUGGUUUAGCUUCUUGAAGAUUUCUGUCUUAGCUUUUUCCAUCAGCAUGGUACGAAGUUCAGAGAUUGAGACCGCUCCUUUGUGCUUGUGGAUUGGUCACUAGUAGAAAAUAACUCGUUCAACUUCCAAAUUUCCCUGUAGAUUUCCAAAUGAAAUUGUAUGGGCCACCCUGCUUCCUCCUGUCGUUUGGUUUAUUCUUCUGCACUGUUCACCUUCUGCCCAACUAUGCCCCCCUUUUUGAUUGGAUUCUCUGAAGUUGAGGGAGCUUCGGUUUUAUCUGUGGCUAUGCUAUUUCUUUGCAGAGCCUUCGUACACCCUGCCCCAGAUACUGUCUCGUUUCGCCCUUUCUUGAGACUCUCGCCAACUAUCUGGACACUGUGCAGUUUCAGUGGCUCUCUUAAAUGAAGUUGUUACACUUUUGGAACUUCCUGAUGCAGCAGAUGCACCUGGAUUCUGAUGGUGGAAAGACCAAGGAACAUGUGGACUGGGAAUGCUUCUAGAUGCAGGAGUAGACUUCUCUAUCACCAAAAAGGUCCUGAUAGUGGGGACACACAAGAGUUUCGUUGCUGUAAAUCUUGAGGAACUCAUAUAGUAUCCUGCACUUAUUGCAUGACAUUAAAGAAGUUUCAGGUCUUGAUGGAUGACAGGGGAUUGGUAUAGAAUCGCUGGCAGGAGUAUGGUGAUAUUGCUUGAUGGGUGUCUGGUUCCUUUGAAGUGGGGUGGGAAAGCACUGAAAAUUGUUGGCAAAUUUAGGAGGAUUUUGAUCAUUGCGGACAUAAACAUAAAUGAAAAUUGGCAAAGCUGCUUCUGGAGUCAUGUGCCGGGCAACACUGCUGUCAUUGGAUCCCUUGGUCCAGGGUGGAGGGGAGCAUACUUACUAGAAGGGGCUGUUUCUGGAGUCCUUUGAUGAGUGGGAAUGUGGUGGUCACCAUUGGCUGUUGACUGAUACCUUGGCCAGAGUGGACACAGAUUGUAAUAUAAGGAAACAGACUUGCAUGGCUUCAUUUCAUUUGGAAACAGUGUUGGGUGAUUAUCACUUCUUUUCAUUUUGACAUUAUUUUAACACUAUAUUAUGUGAUUAUUCAUCCAUCUUUUCUAUGUAUAAAUGUGUGUGCGAUCUGCGUG
This 1138-nucleotide long non-coding RNA is filed under the name Olea europaea subsp. europaea. The record is from RNAcentral. Lineage: Eukaryota; Viridiplantae; Streptophyta; Magnoliopsida; Lamiales; Oleaceae.